RNAcentral lists this ribosomal RNA (1149 nucleotides) under Triticum aestivum (bread wheat). RNAcentral's name for it is "partial small subunit ribosomal RNA". The record is from RNAcentral. Lineage: Eukaryota; Viridiplantae; Streptophyta; Magnoliopsida; Poales; Poaceae.
AUGGCAAUUCUGAAUUUCUCUGGUCCGACAGCCAUUUGGUUGCAGUCUAUGCAGCGCAAGAUCACUGGUCUUGUGUGGGAAUCGUUCACAGCGUUGUUGUGCACUCGAUUUGGGCGUGACAAACACCAAUCGCUGAUUCGCCAGUUUUAUGCUAUCCGUCAGACUGAAUUAGUUGCAAAUUUCAUUGAGCGAUUUGAGACGUUGAUGAAUCAUAUGAUCUCUUAUUCUGAACUGACACAUCUGUAUUUCUUUCUUACAUGAUUCAUCGAGGGGCUACGGGCGGAUAUACGAGCAGUGGUGCUCAUUCACAGAUCACCAGACAUCGACACGGCCUGUUCGCUUGCUCUGCUUCAGGAGGAAGUGGCUGAUGGGGAGAACACCUUACGCCCCGCGGCCAUCCGAUUGCCAAUGUCGCGUUUGGUGGGUGUCAGUACGCCAAGUCUGCCGGUGAGUACUGCACGACUGUCAGUGCCUGCAGCCAAAGCGGAAGAUCACCGGGGUACCCAAGCAGCAAGGGCCGGAGCAGAAGGCAGUAAGGGCAGCAUGCGCUGUUUUAGGCGCGCCCGAGGUCUGUGUUUUAAAUGUGGCGGACGAUGGGGCAAGGAUCACACAUGUCCUCCUACUGUGCAGAUGCAUGUAGUGGAGGAACUCUUGGAGCUCUUUGCAGCAGAAGAGGUGCUAGGGGAAAACAAUCACGAACCAAACGAGCUGGAUGAAGACAACCUCUGCACCAUUUCCAAGCAAGCGGUGGAUGGGUCUGCCGGGCCGGGUGUGAUGCAACUGCACGCAUGGAUUCAAGGGGAGGAAACGUCAUUGAUGGUUGACUCGGGCAUCUCCUCCUCAUUUGUCGACCAUCACAUGGUAGCCAAACUAUCUAGAGUAUGCAAACUACCCAAGACAUGCAGAGUUAAAGUGGCAGAUGGUGCUGUGUUGAACUGCGACAGUUUCAUACCACAGUGCCAAUGGACUUCUCAGGGGCAUGAAUUUAUCACCAAUUUCAAAGUCCUAUCACUUGGAGCUUAUGAUGCUAUCUUGGGGAUGGACUGGCUCAAGAAACACAGCCCCAUGAACAUUGAUUGGGAGGCACAACAUAUGACAGUUACAACGGAGGAAGGGCUGGUCGAAUUGCAAGCAGUUACCAAUAAUCAA